RNAcentral lists this ribosomal RNA (253 nucleotides) under uncultured bacterium. RNAcentral describes it as "partial 16S ribosomal RNA". It matches the Rfam family "Bacterial small subunit ribosomal RNA", at positions 524 to 776 of the family's 1533-position model. The record is from RNAcentral.
UACAGAGGGGGCAAGCGUUGUUCGGAAUUACUGGGCGUAAAGGGCGCGUAGGCGGCCUUCUAAGUCGAACGUGAAACCCCUGGGCUCAACCCAGGAACUGCGUCCGAUACUGGGAGGCUUGAAUCCGGGAGAGGGAUGUGGAAUUCCAGGUGUAGCGGUGAAAUGCGUAGAUAUCAGGAGGAACACCGAUAGCGAAGGCAGCUCGCUGGGACGGUACUGACGCUGAGGCGCGAAAGCGUGGGGAGCGAACAGG